Molecule: ribosomal RNA, 227 nt
Filed under: uncultured bacterium
Lineage: Bacteria
Description: partial 16S ribosomal RNA
Rfam family: Bacterial small subunit ribosomal RNA
Source: RNAcentral
GACGAACGCUGGCGGCGUGCUUAACACAUGCAAGUCGAGCGGUAAGGCCCUUUCGGGGGUACGACGAGCGGCGAACGGGUGAGUAACACGUGGGUGACCUGCCCUCAGCUCUGGGAUAAGCCUGGGAAACGUGGGUCUAAUACUGGAUAUGACUCCACGGUGCAUGUCGUGGGGUGGAAAGCCUUGUGCGGCUGAGGAUGGGCCCGCGGCCUAUCAGCUUGUUGGGU